UCCGAGCUCAGAGUUUACUAAAUUAAAAUACAGUGAUAUAUUAUCUCCUAUAAUCUGGAGGGAUGAAUCCCAUCUUGAUCCACACACAGACUUCGUAAGUACUUGACUAUACCUAGUAGCCUUUCAUCAUUGCAUUAGAAAUACAGGUAGUUCGGUACCAAAGCACAGUAAGUUACUUGUAUGUCACUAUAGUGAUCUUAGGUCUAUGGGAUACUUAUGCCCAUACGUUUUGUAAGCUGCUCUUG
RNAcentral lists this long non-coding RNA (245 nucleotides) under Elaeis guineensis (African oil palm). Its description in RNAcentral is "long non-coding RNA (EGUI_LNC055793)". The record is from RNAcentral. Lineage: Eukaryota; Viridiplantae; Streptophyta; Magnoliopsida; Arecales; Arecaceae.